Molecule: ribosomal RNA, 253 nt
Filed under: uncultured bacterium
Lineage: Bacteria
Description: partial 16S ribosomal RNA
Rfam family: Bacterial small subunit ribosomal RNA
Source: RNAcentral
UACGUAGGUGGCAAGCGUUGUCCGGAUUUACUGGGCGUAAAGAGCACGCAGGCGGUCGGCCAAGUCGAGUGUGAAAGCCCCCGGCUCAACUGGGGAGGGUCACUCGAUACUGGUCGACUUGAAGGCGGGAGAGGGAAGCGGAAUUCCCGGUGUAGUGGUGAAAUGCGUAGAUAUCGGGAGGAACACCAGUGGCGAAGGCGGCUUCCUGGCCCGUUCUUGACGCUCAUGUGCGAAAGCUAGGGGAGCGAACAGG